ACGCUGGCGGCACGCCUAACACAUGCAAGUCGAACGAAGUAGCAAUACUUAGUGGCAGACGGGUGAGUAACAUGUAGGUAUCUGCCCUUUGGCCUGGAAUAACACGAGGAAACUUGUGCUAAUACUGGAUAAGUCUUUACGGAGAAAGCUUUAUGCACCAUUGGAUGAGCCUGCACUUGAUUAGUUUGUUGGUGGGGUAAUGGCCUACCAAGACUUUGAUCAAUAGCUGAUUUGAGAGGAUGAUCAGCCACAUUGGGACUGAGACACGGCCCAAACUCCUACGGGAGGCAGCAGUGGGGAAUCUUGCACAAUGGAGGAAACUCUGAUGCAGCGAUGCCGCGUGAGUGAAGAAGGCCCUUGGGUUGUAAAGCUCUUUCGUCGGGGAAGAAAAUGACUGUACCCGAAUAAGAAGGUCCGGCUAACUUCGUGCCAGCAGCCGCGGUAAUACGAAGGGACCUAGCGUAGUUCGGAAUUACUGGGCUUAAAGAGUUCGUAGGUGGUUGAAAAAGUUGGUGGUGAAAUCCCAGAGCUUAACUCUGGAACUGCCAUCAAAACUUUUCAGCUAGAGUAUGAUAGAGGAAAGCAGAAUUUCUAGUGUAGAGGUGAAAUUCGUAGAUAUUAGAAAGAAUACCAAUUGCGAAGGCAGCUUUCUGGAUCAUUACUGACACUGAGGAACGAAAGCAUGGGUAGCGAAGAGGAUUAGAUACCCUCGUAGUCCAUGCCGUAAACGAUGUGUGUUAGACGUUGGAAAUUUAUUUUCAGUGUCGCAGCGAAAGCGAUAAACACACCGCCUGGGGAGUACGACCGC
Molecule: ribosomal RNA, 808 nt
Filed under: uncultured Pelagibacteraceae bacterium
Lineage: Bacteria; Pseudomonadati; Pseudomonadota; Alphaproteobacteria; Candidatus Pelagibacterales; Candidatus Pelagibacteraceae
Description: bacterial SSU rRNA
Rfam family: Bacterial small subunit ribosomal RNA
Source: RNAcentral